RNAcentral lists this ribosomal RNA (253 nucleotides) under uncultured bacterium. RNAcentral's name for it is "partial 16S ribosomal RNA". It matches the Rfam family "Bacterial small subunit ribosomal RNA", at positions 524 to 776 of the family's 1533-position model. The record is from RNAcentral.
UACGUAGGGUGCGAGCGUUGUCCGGAAUUACUGGGCGUAAAGAGCUCGUAGGCGGCUUGUCACGUCGGGUGUGAAAGCCCGGGGCUUAACCCCGGGUCUGCAUUCGAUACGGGCUAGCUAGAGUGUGGUAGGGGAGAUCGGAAUUCCUGGUGUAGCGGUGAAAUGCGCAGAUAUCAGGAGGAACACCGGUGGCGAAGGCGGAUCUCUGGGCCAUUACUGACGCUGAGGAGCGAGAGCGUGGGGAGCGAACAGG